AGCAGCCGCGGUAAUUCCAGCUCCAAUAGCGUAUAUUAAAGUUGUUGCAGUUAAAAAGCUCGUAGUUGAAUUUCGGGGUCAGUAGGUUGGUCGUGCCACUGGUAUGUACUGGCUUCACUGAUUCCUCCCUCUUGUAGAACCGUAAUGCCAUUAAUUUGGUGUUGCGGGGAAACAGGACUGUUACUUUGAAAAAAUUAGAGUGUUUAAAGCAGGCUAACGCUUGAAUACAUUAGCAUGGAAUAAUGAAAUAGGACGUUUGAUCCUAUUUUGUUGGUUUCUAGGAUUGACGUAAUGAUUAAUAGGGAUAGUUGGGGGCAUUAGUAUUCAAUUGUCAGAGGUGAAAUUCUUGGAUUUAUUGAAGACUAACUACUGCGAAAGCAUUUGCCAAGGAUGUUUUCAUUAAUCAAGAACGAAAGUUAAGGGGAUCGAAGACGAUCAGAUACCGUCGUAGUCUUAACCAUAAACUAUGCCGACUAGGGAUCGGAUGAUGUUAAUUUUUUUAAUGUACUCAUUCGGCGCC
Molecule: ribosomal RNA, 520 nt
Filed under: uncultured Glomeromycotina
Lineage: Eukaryota; Fungi; Glomeromycota
Description: SSU rRNA
Rfam family: Eukaryotic small subunit ribosomal RNA
Source: RNAcentral